GACGUAGGUGGCGAACGUUAUCCGGAAUUAUUGGGCGUAAAGGAUGCGUAGAUGGUGUAGUAAGUUAUCGGUGGCAAAUCGAGGCUCAACCUCGUGGAAGUCGGUAAUACUGCUAUGCUAGAGGAUAGGAGAGGUUAACGGAACUCCCGGUGGAGCGGUGAAAUGCGUAGAUAUAGGGAAGAACACCAAUCAGGCGAAGGCAGUUAACUAUUCUAUUCCUGACAUUGAGGCAUGAAAGCGUGGGGAGCAAAACGG
Molecule: ribosomal RNA, 255 nt
Filed under: uncultured bacterium
Lineage: Bacteria
Description: partial 16S ribosomal RNA
Rfam family: Bacterial small subunit ribosomal RNA
Source: RNAcentral